Molecule: ribosomal RNA, 497 nt
Filed under: uncultured bacterium
Lineage: Bacteria
Description: partial 16S ribosomal RNA
Rfam family: Bacterial small subunit ribosomal RNA
Source: RNAcentral
GAUGAACGCUGGCGGCGUGCCUAAUACAUGCAAGUCGAGCGAACAGACGAGGAGCUUGCUCCUCUGACGUUAGCGGCGGACGGGUGAGUAACACGUGGAUAACCUACCUAUAAGACUGGGAUAAAUUCGGGAAACCGGAGCUAAUACCGGAUAAUAUAUUGAACCGCAUGGUUCAAUAGUGAAAGACGGUUUUGCUGUCACUUAUAGAUGGAUCCGCGCCGCAUUAGCUAGUUGGUAAGGUAACGGCUUACCAAGGCAACGAUGCGUAGCCGACCUGAGAGGGUGAUCGGCCACACUGGAACUGAGACACGGUCCAGACUCCUACGGGAGGCAGCAGUAGGGAAUCUUCCGCAAUGGGCGAAAGCCUGACGGAGCAACGCCGCGUGAGUGAUGAAGGUCUUCGGAUAGUAAAACUCUGUUAUUAGGGAAGAACAAAUGUGUAAGUAACUAUGCACGUCUUGACGGUACCUACUCAGAAAGCCACGGCUAACUACGUG